CACGUAGGGGACGAGCGUUGUCCGGAUUCAUUGGGCGUAAAGGGCGCGUAGGCGGCCUUCUAAGUCGAACGUGAAAUCCCCGGGCUCAACCCGGGAACUGCGUCCGAGACUGAAAGGCUUGAAUCCGGGAGAGGGAUGUGGAAUUCCAGGUGUAGCGGUGAAAUGCGUAGAUAUCUGGAGGAACAUCGGUGGCGAAGGCGGCAUCCUGGACCGGUAUUGACGCUGAGGCGCGAAAGCCAGGGGAGCAAACGGG
RNAcentral lists this ribosomal RNA (253 nucleotides) under uncultured bacterium. Its description in RNAcentral is "partial 16S ribosomal RNA". It matches the Rfam family "Bacterial small subunit ribosomal RNA", at positions 524 to 776 of the family's 1533-position model. The record is from RNAcentral.